AUUGAACGCUGGCGGCAGGCCUAACACAUGCAAGUCGAACGAGUGGCGGACGGGUGAGUAAUGUCUGGGAAACUGCCUGAUGGAGGGGGAUAACUACUGGAAACGGUAGCUAAUACCGCAUACCAUCGGAUGUGCCCAGAUGGGAUUAGCGAGUAGGUGGGGGAAAGGCUCACCUAGGCGACGAUCCCUAGCUGGUCUGAGAGGAUGACCAGCAACACGGGAACUGAGGCACGGGCCAGACUGCUCCGGGUGGCGGCAGUGGCUGAUAUUGCAGAAUGGGCGCAAGCCUGAUGCUGCCAUGCCGCGUGUAUGAAGAAGGCCUUCGGGUUUUAAAGUAGUUUCAGCGGGGCGGCGUUGCCCGCAGAAGAAGCACCGGCUAACCCCGAGCCAGCAGCCGCGGUAAUAC
This 406-nucleotide ribosomal RNA is filed under the name uncultured bacterium. RNAcentral describes it as "partial 16S ribosomal RNA". It matches the Rfam family "Bacterial small subunit ribosomal RNA", at positions 29 to 526 of the family's 1533-position model. The record is from RNAcentral.